GAUGAAGAACGCAGCGAAAUGCGAUAAGUAAUGUGAAUUGCAGAAUUUAGUGAAUCAUCGAAUCUUUGAACACAUAUUGCGCCCGCCAGCACUCUGGCGGGCAUGCCUGUUCGAGCGUCAUUUCAACCCUCAGGCCUCGCGUCUGGCGUUGGGGCGCUGCGGCCCUCCCGCAGGCCCCCAAAUUUAGCGGCGGAUUCCCCGCGGCCCUGAGCGCAGUAGAGAGUAAAAACUUUAACGCUCCGGCGGCCGUGGCGCGGUUCUGCCUCUUUCCCAAUAGCGCCAAUAGCGCCACCCCCAAAAAAGUUGACCUCGGAUCAGGUAGGACUACCCGCUGAACUUAAGCAUAUCAAUAAGCGGAGGA
This 361-nucleotide unclassified non-coding RNA is filed under the name soil metagenome. Its description in RNAcentral is "partial contains 5.8S ribosomal RNA, internal transcribed spacer 2, and large subunit ribosomal RNA". The stretch from base 1 to 120 matches the Rfam family "5.8S ribosomal RNA", at positions 35 to 154 of the family's 154-position model. The record is from RNAcentral.